This 492-nucleotide ribosomal RNA is filed under the name uncultured bacterium. Its description in RNAcentral is "partial 16S ribosomal RNA". It matches the Rfam family "Bacterial small subunit ribosomal RNA", at positions 29 to 507 of the family's 1533-position model. The record is from RNAcentral.
AGUGAACGCUGGCGGUAGGCCUAACACAUGCAAGUCGAACGGCAGCACAGUAAGAGCUUGCUCCUACGGGUGGCGAGUGGCGGACGGGUGAGGAAUACAUCGGAAUCUACUUUUUCGUGGGGGAUAACGUAGGGAAACUUACGCUAAUACCGCAUACGACCUACGGGUGAAAGCAGGGGAUCUUCGGACCUUGCGCGAUUGAAUGAGCUGAUGUCGGAUUAGCUAGUUGGCGGGGUAAAGGCCCACCAAGGCGACGAUCCGUAGCUGGUCUGAGAGGAUGAUCAGCCACACUGGAACUGAGACACGGUCCAGACUCCUACGGGAGGCAGCAGUGGGGAAUAUUGGGCAAUGGGCGCAAGCCUGAUCCAGCCAUACCGCGUGGGUGAAGAAGGCCUUCGGGUUGUAAAGCCCUUUUGUUAGGAAAGAAAAGCAGCAGGUUAAUACCCCGCUGUUCUGACGGUACCCAAAGAAUAAGCACCGGCUAACUUCGUG